Molecule: non-coding RNA, 4671 nt
Organism: Malus domestica (apple)
Lineage: Eukaryota; Viridiplantae; Streptophyta; Magnoliopsida; Rosales; Rosaceae
Source: RefSeq, a predicted model, not a curated record
AAACCUAAAUCUGAAAUCCCCUUCAUCCCUUUCCUCUUUCCCAUUUCUUACUCACCAUCGCCACCUUUCGUCCCAGUGCUUCCUCCGCUCUCUCCCUCCUUCCUUUCUCUCUCUAAAAAUCCCCAUCUCAAUGAAGCACAGCCCUAAAAUUAGUGGCUUCUGUCACUGUUCAUCGUCUUCUCCGACGAUUUUUCUAUUUGCAUUCCCGUCUCUCUCGCAAACCCUAGUGUUUUUGUUUGGUUCUUGUUCGGCAAGAGUGUCAGCAGCCCGACCCAAUCGCGGCGCGCCACUAGGGCUGUCUCGUCCCCUUGGACUCAAAUCGUUCGGGGCGAAUCUGAGCCGAAUGCGGCCGUUGCUUCGUCGCUAUCGACGGCUGUGACUGAGCCAGCUGUCGCCGCCGCGGCGCGUCCGUCCCUUCCUUCCUCUUCUUCGGCUAAUCAGACUCUCGAAUUCGUCUUCUCCUCCACUGGUGGAGGAGUCGGUGGGUGAGGGCUCAGAGAACGGCAAUGCGGGUAAGAGGCCAGCUUGGAACAAGCCUUCUAAUGGGGCCGUCAAGGUUGGGUCUGUAAUGGGAGCUGUGCCUUGGCCUGCCUUGUCUGAGUCAGCUCGGGCUUCUACCGAAUCGUCUUCUGAAUCUCCCAAAGGUGUAUCAGAACCCUCAUUGUUGUCUGUCUCCGUAUCGCAGUUUUCUUUCUUGAAUCUUUUUGCUAUUGUUUGGUUGCUGAGAAAGUUGGGAACUGAAUCAAACUAUAUGCAACACUUGGGUUUUUUUCUGAUAUACUAAUUUUUCAUUGAAAUUUACCAUAAUCAAGAAAUGCACCAUUAGCUCUCUGCAUUCGAAUGGUGGUUUGCUGAUAAAUUUUGGGUAGAUGCAUAAUCUUUUUAAAUAAAAAGAAAACCUUUGAACAAUGAGAAAAAGGACGAAGGGUGGCGAUGGUCAGGAAGAAAUAGGGGAGAGGAAAGGGAUGAAGGGGAUUUCAAAUUUGAGUUUAGUUUUUUACUUUUUUUCAAUAUUUAAUUUUUAAGUUUUUAAUUUUUAAUUUUUUUUAAUAUCUAGGUGGCGUCAUGUCAUUAUUUACUAGGACGUCAUAUCAUCAGUUAUACUUAACAGCUAACUUAACGGAUGUACCAAAUUGUUCCAAAAUUAAGACUUGAAGUAUAACUCGGAUGAAAAAAACUUUAUGCAUCAAAUGUUGAAAACUACGAAAUUUCAGGGUAUUAAACUGAGAUUAACCCAUGUAGUUAAUAUUCUUCCUUUAUUUGUUGAUUAUUGCAGGAAGACAUUAUCCCAAGGGAAAUAGUCAUGCAAAGGGUACUCAUCUUGCAGUUUACCUAAGAUUGGUUGAUGCAAAAAAACUACAUUCUCGCUCCAAAAUCUUUACAAAGUUUUCCUUGCGCUUCGCAGAUCAUCUGCAUUCCAAGCAUUGCUUUGGGAAAGGUUCAGCGCUUUUGGUCCAGAUGGGGGGUUCCCAACAUUCAUCACAGUGGUCAGUUUUGAUCAGGCAGACAAGGGGCUUUUGAUGAACGGAAAAGGGUUCUCGCCGAAUCCUUUUCCUGGGAUCUUGGGAAUCUGUGAUCGUAAACGUUCAUCGUACGUUGUGCGGUCAGAAAUCAUUUCAAAAUUUAAAAUUAAAUAUAAAUAGUACCUAAUGAAAACUGAUCGUACAAUAUACGAUGAACGGUCAUGAUCACAGGAUCCCCAUGAAAAGAAUCCGGCGAGGAUCCUUUUCCUUGAUGAACGAUACUUGCAUAGUGGAUGCAGAGGUCACAGUCUUUGACACUACUAAAGCACUAAGCUUGCCGAUAUCUUUUGGUAAAUAAAUUCAAAAACAAAAGAAGAUUAACCACCUACUAUGCGAGUUUUGAGACUCGUUUUCAAACAUGUUAGAAAAUUACAAUUUUUUCCUCGUUAUUUUUUUUUAUUUUUUUUUGAACAAAUGAUAUUAUCUACUAAAUGGGAGCGGGUGAGUUUAGCCUCAUAAUGGGCUAGUAAUAAUGUUGUUCAUUCGCCCUUGGCGAGAAUUGAACCUAAGACCUCUCACUUACAAGUGAAGAGAAAUAUCACUAGACCAGUGUUCUAAAAAUCGGCCUAGGAGGCCACCUAGGCCCUGGGCGGUGCAUGCCAACCUUGAUUUUGGGCAUGGCGUUCUGAAAAAUCGGUUGGAAGCUAGCCAGCUACCUAGGCGGAGGUAGGUGGCUAAGUGGUUUUAUUUAUUUAUUCUAAAUUAAAAAUUAAAUAAGUUAACUUAAGGUUCCUGUGUCCACGAGCUCAUCCCCUGUUAUCCAAGAACACUUAUUAUGAUUAUAUGCUUAAUGUGCUUUAAUUUGUAAGUUUGGUGGAUACUUGUUGGAUACAUGUAUCAUCCAAGAACUCUCAUUCUGAUUAUAUGCUCAAUGUGCUUUUAAAUUGGAAGUAUGUUGGAUGCUUAUUGCAUACAGGUAUUAUCCAAGAACAUUCAUUUUGAUUAUAUGCUUAAUGUGCCUUUAAAUUGUAAGCUUGAUGGAUGCUUGUUGCCUUGUUGGAUACAUGUAUUAUCCAAGAACACUCACAUAGAUUAUAUGGUUAAUGUGUUUUCAAAUUGUAAGCUUGUUGGAUACAUGUACUUUAUGUAAUCUCUGCUUAUUUACACAAUAUAUAAUAAAUUUAUCUAAAUCAACCUAGGCGCUAGGCUCCAGCCCGUCGUUCGACUAGCAGCUAGCUCUUUUUAGAACAUUGCACUAGACCAUAGUACUAAGUGGUAUACUUUUAUUGUCUGUUUUAGAAAAUCUAAUAAUGUUUCACCAAACUCUUUUCUCUUUAUAUAUAGAGAUUAAUAUAAAUUUAAAGUCAAAUAGAUUUUUAGGAAAUUUUCAAUAAUUUCAUAUAAUGGCAUAUUAUUUGAACUCCAUUAAAUUUGGUAUUUAUUGUGAUACAUUAGUUUAUCAAUGUGUGACAAAGACAUAUAAUAGUAAUAAUUUUAUUAUUCAUGUAAAAAAGGAUCAUGUUUGUAAUUAUGGGUUGAAUUUGUUAAAAUUCAGUAAUAUUUACAAAACAAAGACAAAACUAUCUACCAAAGUUAAGAGAAAAUUACAAGAAACACGCAUAGUUAAAUGGUUUACAGCGCGCAACUUAAGAUUAGUGAACCCUCUAAUAAGUCCUAUUAACAAAUCGGCGUGAUAUUUUGAGAAGUUGAAGAAUUAAGUGUAAUUUGCAAAAUAUCUUCCUAUUAAAACAUAACUUUUUUUUUUUCAAGUCAUGAAACUUUGUCCUAAUUUUAUAUGUGCUUCAAUAUCCUAGUGGAUAGUGUAUGUGGUCGUUCCUUUUUCGAAAUUCUGGUUCUCCUAAAUUAUUAUAAUAGUUUGAAUCAAAGUCUUUUUGUUUGAUAAUAAUAAAUCUAAAAAAAAAAAUAGUUGUUGCAGUUCUAUUGGAUUAUGAAUGAUUGUGUAAAUCCUAAUGUAUCUAGGAGUAUCUUUUAUAUUCCUAUUAGUAGUUUAAUUCAUAUUAGAGAUGUAAUGCUAUAAGGUUAAGGAUUCUACCAAUCCUAAUACUAUAAAUAAGGGUACAAAGGGGUGAAUCAACACACACCUCAUAAUUAUAUAUAUAUUUCGUCUUUCUCUAAUGCCGCCGGCCAUUCUUCCUCUAUGUCCUAAAUACAGUUCAGUUAAAUAGACCUACAACACGUUAUCAGCACACUCUUGCCAGAAGCUAAGGAACUGAAGGAUCGUGGAGGAAGCUUUCUUCUACAAAUUCAAAGGCUUUCAAUUGUUUUAUGCCAAUCAGGGAUAUGUCGAACUUGAACAAGCUCGAUUUCACCGCUCUAGAAGUCUCUGGAAGAAACUACCUGAAGUGGGUUCAAGACGUGAAGCUCCAUCUUACUACAAAGAGUCUCAGAGCUACGAUUGAGGAACCAAUCGACGAUGAACCCGUCGAUGAAGCUCAUAAAGCUACUGCUAGGAUCUUCAUUCGAAGACACGUCCACGAUGCACUGCAGACCAAGUACAUCGCAGAGGAGGAUCCCCAUACGCUCUGGCCGAUCGCUUUGAUCACUAGAAAGACAUCUACUUGCCUGAAGCGAGGCACAACUGGCAACAUUUACGCUUCCAAGAUUUUAAGUCUUUGAAUGAAUACAACUCUGAAGUUUGUAGAAUCUGAUCACUGCUUAAGUUCUGUAAAGAAGACUUAACCGAACAAGAUCUCCUGGAGAAAACCUAUUUGAUCUUCAAUGCCACAAAUAUUGUCAUGCAGCAACAAUAUAAGGCACAAAAGUUCACCAAAUUUUUGGAUUUAAUAUAUGUUAUCCUGAAGCGCUUGCAACUAAUUCUAACAACCACAACCGACGGAAACCUCGUCAUGGCUGUGGAAAUAAGCGACAAGGCCCACCACUGGCCCAAGAUUCACCGAACAGAGGCCCAUCCAAGGGAGGAAACUUGACCCAGAAGCGCUAACCCCUUGCCUUUAAGGCCCCAAACUUCAACAACAAGGGAAAAGUUAUCGUUUAAUCGGAUUUGACUGAACUGGACAUGUGCUACCACUGUGGAUUAAAGGAUCAUUGGUCAGGCGUAUACCGAGCUACCCCCGAGGAUAUUGCCAAGUAUCAUUCCCGUCAUCAGACUAACUUUAUGCAUGUGGAACAUCCCGAAGAUGCUACUAUAACUUUAGAGGUUUAAGAUUUUCAGGAGGCAUCCACUCCU